Lonchura striata (white-rumped munia) is the source of this 590-nucleotide non-coding RNA. NCBI's taxonomy places the organism in Eukaryota, Metazoa, Chordata, Aves, Passeriformes, Estrildidae. The record is from RefSeq and is a predicted model, not a curated record.
GUCUUUCUGAGGGCGCUGCAGUGCUGCGAAGCAAAGUAGUGGGUCAGAGUUCUGAGCUGGCUUAAAAGGCACCACUGACAUGGCUAACAGAACAAACUCCUCGGAGUAUUUCUGGUCUUAUGAAUAUUACUGGGAUUACAUAGAUCCAAUUCCAGUAGAUGGAAGCAAGUUGAAGGUUAAUAAAUAAUGCACAUGACAGAAUUACUCUGCUGUGCCCACAGACUCCAUCGUCAUUGCCUUUUGGGUCGGCCUUGCUGCGUUCGUGAUGUUUCUUUUCCUUGUUUUGCUGUGUAUGUCCUGCUCCGGAUCAACGCCAGCAAACACGAUGAUGAACAGGAACACAGGGUCGGGCAGGAGCUCAUUAGGCAGUGACUGCACUCACGAUAAUUAACGGUCACAAGAGCACCCAGGGCAGAUCCUGGUGCAAGGACGGAGUACUUGCCAGCAGAAUGCAUUGGAAGAACUGUGCAAAUCCAGCAGUUUAAAGUUUGGGAAUGCUGUGGGACAUGCUUAAUAUGUCAGAAGUAUUUUUUUAAAGAAAGCCCCCAGGAAGUGGUGGAAGAAAAUAAUAAAUAAUAUUGCCUACUCAC